Molecule: non-coding RNA, 192 nt
Filed under: Candidatus Desulfosporosinus infrequens
Lineage: Bacteria; Bacillati; Bacillota; Clostridia; Eubacteriales; Desulfitobacteriaceae
Source: RNAcentral
AUACCUUUUAGGAAAAUUCCGCGUCAUCCUCUCUUCAGGGAGGGCUAGCAAGACUGGAACUAGCUCGAGAGACACUCGGUAGAACACCCUAAAUGGGAGUAUUUUUGCACGACUGGUCUCGUUAAUGACUGAAAAGUGGGCGGAGAAAUUCCGUCAAUUAGGGUGGCACCACGAGAAGUUCUCGUCCCUUGC